GCAGCAGUGGGGAAUUUUCCGCAAUGGGCGAAAGCCUGACGGAGCGACGCUGCGUGAAGGAUGACGGCCUGAGGGUUGUAAACUUCUUUUCUCGAAGAAGAAUCAAUGACGGUAUUCGAGGAAUAAGCAUCGGCUAACUCUGUGCCAGCAGCCGCGGUAAGACAGAGGAUGCAAGUGUUAUUCGGAUUGAUUGGGCGUAAAGCGUCUGUAGGCGGUUUAGAAAGUCUUUUGUGAAAUACUUCAGCUCAACUGGAGCUCCGCAAAAGAAACUUCUAGACUUGAGGGAAGUAGAGGUACAGGGAAUUUCCGGUGGAGCGGUGAAAUGCGUAGAUAUCGGAAGGAACACCAAUAUGGCGAAGGCACUGUACUGGGCUUUACCUGACGCUAAGAGACGAAAGCUAAAGGAGUGAUUAGGAUUAGAUACCCUAGUAAUUUUAGCCGUAAACGAUGGAAACUCACUGCCGAGCCGGUAUUCGGAGCGGUGGUCAAGCUAACGCGUGAAGUUUCCCGCCUGGGGAUUACGCAUGCAAAUGUGAAACUCAAAGGAAUUGACGGGGACCCGCACAAGCGGUGGAGUAUGUGGUUUAAUUCGAUGCAACGCGAAAAACCUUACCAAGGUUUGAAAUCAUUCUAAAACUCUUUGAAAGAAGAGCCUCCUUCGGGAUAGAAUGACAGGUGGUGCAUGGCUGUCGUCAGCUCGUGUUGUGAAAUGUCAAGUUAAGUCUUGUAACGAGCGCAACCCAUGUCUUUUGUUGCUGUUUACAGUGCUUAAAAGAGACUGCCGCUCUACAGCGGAGGAAGGUGUGGAUGAUGUCAAGUCAGCAUGCCCCUUAUAUCUUGGGCUACACACGUACUACAAUGGUAGGGACAAUGAGUCGCAAACCUGCGAAGGCUAGCCAAUCUCAAAAACCCUAUCUCAGUUCGGAUUGUACUCUGCAACUCGAGUGCAUGAAGGUGGAAUCGCUAGUAAUCGCUGGUCAGCAUACAGCGGUGAAUACGUUCCCGGGUCUUGUACACACUGCCCGUCACACCAUGGAAGUCGAUCCUUCCCUAAGUCGUUACUCGAACCUUUUAGGACGAGGAUGCCGAAGGCAGGGUUGGUGACUAGGGUGAAGUCGUAACAAGGUAGCCGUACUGGAAGGUGUGGCUG
This 1150-nucleotide ribosomal RNA is filed under the name marine metagenome. RNAcentral describes it as "bacterial SSU rRNA". It matches the Rfam family "Bacterial small subunit ribosomal RNA", at positions 348 to 1520 of the family's 1533-position model. The record is from RNAcentral.